CCUACGGGCGGCUGCAGUGAGGAAUAUUGGUCAAUGGGCGGGAGCCUGAACCAGACAAGCCGCGUGAAGGAAGAAGGCGCCAGGCGUCGUAAACUUCUUUUGUCGGGGAACAAAGGGCGCCACGUGUGGCGUUGUGAGUGUACCCGAAGAAAAAGCAUCGGCUAACUCGGUGCCAGCAGCCGCGGUAAUACGGAGGAUGCGAGCGUUAUCCGGAUUUAUUGGGGUUAAAGGGUGCGUAGGCGGUCCGGAAAGUCAGCGGGAAAAGCCCGGGGCUAAACCCCGGCGAGCCGUUGAAACUGUCGGACUAGAGACGGCGAGAGGUACGCGGAAUGCGCGGUGUAGCGGUGAAAUGCAUAGAUAUCGCGCAGAACUCCGAUUGCGAAGGCAGCGUACCGGCGCCGGACUGACGCUGAGGCACGAAAGCGUGGGUAUCGAACAGGAUUAGAUACCCGGGUAGUC
Molecule: ribosomal RNA, 459 nt
Filed under: uncultured bacterium
Lineage: Bacteria
Description: partial 16S ribosomal RNA
Rfam family: Bacterial small subunit ribosomal RNA
Source: RNAcentral